UACGUAGGUGGCAAGCGUUGUCCGGAAUUAUUGGGCGUAAAGCGCGCGCAGGCGGUCCUUUAAGUCAGACGUGAAAUCCCUCGGCUUAACCGGGGAACUGCGUCUGAUACUGGAUGGCUUGAGUGUAGGAGAGGGAUGCGGAAUUCCAGGUGUAGCGGUGAAAUGCGUAGAUAUCUGGAGGAACACCGGUGGCGAAGGCGGCAUCCUGGACUACUACUGACGCUGAGUGAGCGAAAGCCAGGGGAGCAAACGGG
RNAcentral lists this ribosomal RNA (254 nucleotides) under uncultured bacterium. RNAcentral describes it as "partial 16S ribosomal RNA". It matches the Rfam family "Bacterial small subunit ribosomal RNA", at positions 524 to 776 of the family's 1533-position model. The record is from RNAcentral.